RNAcentral lists this long non-coding RNA (3737 nucleotides) under Lathyrus oleraceus (garden pea). Its description in RNAcentral is "Pisum sativum (pea) long non-coding RNA (PSAT_LNC010136)". Lineage: Eukaryota; Viridiplantae; Streptophyta; Magnoliopsida; Fabales; Fabaceae. The record is from RNAcentral.
GCAUUAGCUCUUAUGGUGUUAUCUCAAUAGUGAUUUUUCUUUUUCAUUUUCCUUUCAUCUCCAUCUCCAUGGUUCCCUACCGGCAAAGGUUUAUCUUCACAACCUUCAACACUAUAUACUCAGAUUUCAAAAGUUUUGGUGAUUGCUGCAAAUUGCAUAAAUUUCAUCGCUCAAUAUCGGUGAACCUCUUCACUCUUACUACCAGUACAGGUACACCUCUUUCCACUCUACUUUUUUUUAUAGGAAUUUUAGGGUUUUGUGUUUAGAGAGCGGGUUUCAAUAUUUUUCAUAUAUAAUUUGGUGUUUUUAUGUUAAUGCUGAUUCAGAUACACCAAUAUCUAUAACAAGUUCGCAUUGCAUCCCAAGUUGCCACGGUUGCAUAUGUGUUUGUAUACAUGAUGUACGUAUUUUCUUGUUAAUUUAUUGGAAGUGCAUGACUUGAAUUUACAACAGAAAUAAUAAGAUUGUUAUAUGAAUACAAAAAAAUAUGCCAGUAGUUUAGCCACUAGAGUCACUACAACUAUAUGAAAUUGAUUUUGAAUAAUUAUUACCAAAACUGUAUGCCAAAUACAGUUACACGAGUUAGUUGUUCCAUUUUCGAAGCUGUGGAGCUAAUCAUUUGAUUCGUAUUUUGAAACUGUAAUUGAAUUUGUCUCGUAGGAAUUGGAGGAGGAUAUACAGUCUACUUGUAGUGGUGGCAUUUCGGGAGAAAACAAGACCGGCUUUGGAGGAUAUGACACCGAUGAAAGUGGUCCUUGUAGCAUUUCUAUUACUUUAUUCAUGGGUGGUCUGUCUGAUGGAUUCGUUUGAAUGCACCAUAGACUCACCAAAGUAAUCUUUCUAACCAUAUCAUUUUCUUCCUCUGAGAUUGUCAAACUAUCUAAAAGAGUUUUACUAGUAUUACCUUGCUCAAGAUCUUUAUAAAUCCAAUCAGGAAAAUACAUUUCAGAACUAUGUGACCCUCCGGUGUCAUAGUUCUUUCUUCCUCCUAUCAUCUCAAGAAUCAAUAUGCCAUAACUGUACACAUCAGACUUGUAAGAAACUCCACCGAAUGCCCUACUAAAUAUUUCAGGUGCCAUAUACCCUAUAGUUCCUCUUGCCCCUAGCAUUGACACGGUACUAUCCUUCUUUUGACAUAUUUUAGCCAAACCAAAAUCAGAUAUUUUUGGACAAAAAUUUUCAUCCAAAAGAAUGUUUUGGGGUUUGAUAUCAAGAUGCAAAAUCCUUGAGUUGCAUCCUUGAUGCAAGUACUCCAGUCCUCUAGCAAUGCCUAUUGCAAUUUGGAACAGAGUGUUCCAAUCAAAAUCACAAAUAGCAUUAGGAAGUUCACUUUUAUAGAUGAACUUAUCCAAUGAUCCUUUGGGCAUGAACUCAUAUAUUAGUGCUCUUUUGUUCCCUUCAUAACAAAAACCUAAAAGUGACACAAUGUUCAUGUGUGAUGUUCUACUAAUGCUAGCAACUUCGUUUAUGAAUUCUUCUCCAUUUCCCUUUGAUUCGUUUAUAAGUUUCACCGCCACUUGACUACCAUCGUUUAAACUUGCUUUGUACACAACACCAUAUCCUCCUUGGCCUAAUUUAUCUCGGAAUGAGUUUGUAACUCUUUUUACUUCUGCAUAACUAUAUCUUCUUGGCAUGUGUAAAUUAUAAUUUUGCAUGAAAAUUUCCACAUUGUUGUCCACAAGCUUUCUUCUUUUCCUAAAAAUACUCUUUUCUUGUCUACAUGUACCCCUUUUAGUCAUAAUAAUAGUAAUAAUAAAGAAUAUUGUUACUCCAAAUCCUGCACCUGAAUUUAUCAAAUAAAAAACAAAUAGUUUUCGUCUAUACUUUUAGAAGAUAAAUUCAUGCCACUAAAAUGUGGGAUACGAAACGCUAUCAUAAAAAAGAUAAUGUUUGUUAUCCUUACCUAUAGCAACAAGCCUCCAGUUAUGUUUUGAACCUACAAUAAAAAAAAAAUAGAUAGAACUUAUAAUAAUCAUACAUAGUCUCUUGAAGAGGAUUAAUGGUCAUUUAUAUAAUAAUUGCUUUUUUAUUUUGCAGGUCCAAUAAAGAGAAAAUUUCGUGGUAUAUAUAAAUACUGACAUGGUGAAUCAGUUGUAUCAGAACUAGCUACUGAAGUGACGUUGACAGUGACACAAUAUGUUGAAAUCAGGUGCGUUUAGGUUUCAAGAUCUUAGUUAAAGCCAAUAUAUUUUCAAAGCAUUGGUCUAUUUAUCUUGGAGACUAAUAUUUUCAAAGACACCUUCAAACACAUUUGGUCUGUAAUGAAGAAGCAUAAAGGAAAUGUGAAGGCAUUGAAAUGCAGCUUAAGGAGUUCAGACUGAAUUAAAGACUCUAGGAAUGAAGUCAGUCAAGUCAUGGUGAGACACUUUGAUUCUGCUAAAUUUACGCUUGAAAGCUUAAACAAGGUAAUGGUGUCACCCUGAUUUUUCAAAUUCAUGGUGAUUUCAUACAUUUAAUUUUGUUUAAUGUAUUAUGGAAGAGUAGAUUAUAUUCAUGAAAAAUUCACUUUCACCAUUUGAUACAUUAUGGAGUUCCUAUGCUAGUGUUGGAAUGUCAGCAGGGCCUCCACAAGUGUAACCAAACCCUUAGUACAACGCAUCCAAAAUUUAAGGGCCUCUAAGUUCCAACUAGUGUUUUUAACAAGAAUGCUUCUUCUCUCCCAUAUCUAUAUAGCAAAUGUGUGGUCAAAAUAUGGACUUUCAGUUUUUUUAGUAGCAGAUUUUCUGCUAAUGUUAAUGCAACUGUUUUUAAAGAUUAGCGAACAACAUUGUCUGUCCCAAAGCAUACAAUGUAAGGGCAUGUGUAGGUAGCUAUUAUAAUUCAGUUUUUGGAUGUACUAGGUUCCCCCUAAAUUAACAUGCUUUCAAUUGUUAUGAUGAAGUAACACCUCUUGGAAGCAUUGUUUAAUUUCUUUGAACAAUGCACAACCUAUAACAGCUACAGUGAUAAUAGUACAAAAUCUAUUGUGUACACAGAUGUAUAUGAGGUGGCACAGGCACUUAUAGGAUGGGAAUAGUUCAGACCGAUUGAUAGGAGUCUACAGCCGACUGAAAGGAGUCUACAACCUAGCCUAUGCCAGACUCAGGUUAGACUAGUUUUUUUUCAGAUAGAGAAAGCUUGGGCUUUUUUUAAAAGCCUAUCUAGCUUAAUAGACCAAGCCAUAGGCCCUAAAAGAAUCUUUUAAUCCUACCAGGCCGACAUACUUAAAAUGAGGGGGAUGAUUGCUGUAUCUUCCAAACCAUUUGCAGGUCAACAUUUUCAUCUCUGUCUUGGUAAAAGAAACAUUUUAAGACAUACUUGGCAAUAGAAUAGUAAACUAUUCUGCCUCAGUAAUGUUUAUGCAAGUAUUGGGAUAUUUUAACACUUGCAAGGGGAUUUUGUGAAAGUUCCAUAUAUAGAGGAUACAUAAAUUGAAAUAUGUUUUUGAAUGGCAAUCAUUGAUCUCAUUUGACGCUAGUUUUUGUAGGGUAGACUUAGAUAACCAGCUAUGAAGUCAUACGGGUCACGCCCAAGAUGUUAAGGUUUAGCAACACUUGGAAGAGGAUUUUUGAUGUAACAACUAUCUUAUAUGAUGCUUUAUUAGCCCACAUUUGAUCAUGAUAUAUCCUCCAAUAUCAAGAAUCACGGUUCACAAGGUUGAUUGAUCAUGAUCAAUCGUAAUUAAUAUUUAAAACGUUGCUUCCUAAUAAAGCUAAUGAUAAUCUAACAUUAGUGUUACUAAUCCUAAUGAAAAAAAU